GCUUUGUGGCUUCAAAUUCGUAUACUGGCGGGAGGCGGAACUAAGUUGUCCAUAGUAUAUACAGUCUAUGGUUUAUACCUGUAGACAUGAUGGCCAAUGGCACCCAAAGUUAGCACAGAUGAAGAUUGAAAAAAUACAUUUUUGUUGUUUGAGUGUGACUGUGACUGACUGUAUUUCUGCUGACAUUUGAAAGUGUUCAUGAUGGAGAGCUUAGUGACCAUCUCAUUGUGGAUGACUUGGCCUGAACUGGGCUGUGAAGCUAGUCUGUGAGGAGACAAUGAUCAGUGUCCUUAUUCUUUAAUCCUGAGAUCAGCACCAUCUAAAUCAUGGUUUUUGGAGAGAAUUGAAAAAUACCAGGGUCUCCAUCUCACUAUCUUGCUCUCAUUAACGAGUCCUCAAAAUAUCAGUGAAGCAAUGUGCCAUGGAUUUCAGACUUUGGGCAAGGUGUUUGUUGGAAAAUUUAAAUAUCUUUGUUAACUUUUGACAGUGGAAAAUUAGCUAAAAAUAGCUGGUUAGAUCCUCUCUUACAAACAUGAACAACAUUGGCAACAGCAAAAGUCAGCUGGAAUGGAAAUAGCAUUGUCUGCAGGACUGUGCAGUGAUUUGAUUUUACAAAGAUGACUGAGAAAACAAAACAAGGAGUUUUAUUUCUUCAUCAAAUACCUUCAGAAAAGAAUAUUCAACAUUUUUAACCUAUUAUUUACUGUAUUUACUGCCAAGGAGGUUAUGUUUUCGGUAGUGUUGGUUUGUUUGUUUGUUUGUUUGUCUGUGAACAACUUUACGGAGAAAGUAACAGACAGAUUUACCUGAAAUUUUCACCAGAGGUGCGUCUCAGCCCCAGAAUGAUCCCAUUACAUUUUGAUGGUGAUCUGGAUCACCUUCUGGAUCCAGGAAUUUUUUUGAAGGAUUCUUUAUCAUUGUGAGAUAGGGCAAAUUUUGGAAUUUUUGCAUUUAACUCUAUAAAAAUGGCCAGAGUCUUUAGUAAAAAAUUACACAAAAGGAUCUCAAUGAGUUUUAUGAGGUGUCAAAGGUUGAUCCUGAUCCAGACAAAAUUCUGGAUACUGUGAUCCAGAACACACAAAAAUAAGGGUGUCGUUGGAAUUUUCAAUGCUGAAAGAUAACCAAUGGGCGGCACAGUGGUGCAGUGGUUAGCACUGUCACCUCACAGCAAGAAGGUCCUGGGUUCGAAUCCGGGUCAGGGCAUUUCUUGUUUUAGGAACAUUAUGAACAGUGAACAUACCAGUUUAAACACAAAUAAAAGUUAAUAAAAGACACAUAAUAGUGAAAGUUUUGGUGUGAAUCACAAUAUAAGGGGGACAUGAGCUACUUGGCGGAGGUCUGCGCUCUCCGAGUGCUUUUCUAGUUUACAUAUGAAAACAUGUUUGCCAACCUCUGUGAUAAAACUUUGUCUGCUAUUAAAACCAGCUUUUAGACCUUCGUGUCAGGUCACCGAGUAUGACUAGAAAUAAACUGAUAGUUUUAUAUAUUUCUGUGUUCCUGUGUCAGAGAUCAGCAGCAUUUGUUUGCAGUGGUGUUAUUUUUGCCUUAGCAGAGCAAACUGUCACUGUUUCAGACCAUGCUGGUGUUUUGACUGAGCAGCACAAGCGUGUGGCGGGGCCGAGCUGUCACCAUGAGCUGCUCUGAGACAUUUUGACAUUUGAACACUGUAAACAAUCUCCCAUCAGGUGUUGUACACAAGCGCAAAGAGACAGCAGUGUGGAAAUGCUCGGCAGUCAGAGAAAGCUUCAGGCUAAGAGUUCAGCUUGAUCUGGAAGUAAACGUUGCCCUAGCUGUCAACGUUUACAUCUUCCUCUGUCAGGGGAAACAGAGAUUUAGCAGAGCGACACGGCGGCUGCAGAAAGGUUUAAUCAGUGCGACACACUGUAGACACACAGACAGAUACUGUCAAAUAGCUCACAAGGUCUGUGGUCACAUCGGGUUGUACCACCACUUCACCUCUGACAGGCCGGCACUGAGUCUGUAAAAAGAGAAUUUUUACCAUUCAGCUGUAUCGACUAAAAAAAGAGUCACACUGUGCAAAAAUAUAUUUAUAUCCUUCAUAGAUUUGUAUACCCUAUACAAAUCUGUAAAUGUCACAAACACAGUACAAGGUUUUAAUGAUGCACAUGUAUGUCCAUUCUAAAUUUUCAGUUUGGUUUAUCUGCAGCCAUUUCAGUGCAAAUGUUAAGUGUGUCAUUAUAGUAUUGCAAUGUAAAUCCAUGCAAUCAAUUCUAAAGACUGAAUACCUGUGAGCAGCUAAACAAUCUUUCAUUUCUGAAGAGGAUUUCUUUGACAUGGCAGCAGUGGUUUUGUCAGUGUGGGUGUUGUUUUUUCUUACAGUGAAUUCAGUAUCAGAAUUUAAAACAAAAGCCUUUCAAUAGAAGCAUAAAGAGAGCAGGAUUACCUGUGAUAAUCCAAUCUGCCAACCAUCUGACAGCUGUGACAGAGCUCCCAGGCUGUAAUGUGAUCAGUGUGCUGUAAUUGGUGCAAUCAUGGAAACAAAUCUCUGCGUACAUUAAGGCUCAGAGGAGAAAUCAUCGGCUCAUCAUUCCCUCUGAGAGCAGACUGUCUUCUCUUUAAAAGCUCCCAUCACCCUAAACCUCAACACUCAUCCUCAUCCUGGUUUCAAUAAAGUUAUAUGUUCAAAUUUGAAUUUAAUGUAAGAGCAAUGUGAAGGAUUUCUCAUAUUUCCGAUCCAGAUCAAUGUCAAAAUAAACUGACAUGUUGGGGAUCAGAUGUUCUUCCUUAAGCUGUGUCCCCCAGCUGCAGUCCAUAAUGGACUUGCCUGAGGUCUCGGUACAAACAAGUGGCUGCUUGAAGAGAGUCGGUGAGUUGUGUUUAGUCUCUUUGCUAAAGAAACCAAGCAAAGCUAAAAAGAUGUUUGGUGGCUAGUACUAUGGCUGGGACCCUAUAUGUACCGUUGAUUAAGUUAGGUGCUGUUCUGAGCAUUAUUUGUGGCUAUAGAGUGGCUUUUUUUUGUUGAGCGCCUGGGCUCCUUAGACUGCUGUGUAUUGCUAUCAUGCGGUCGUUACUAAAGUUGGUAUAACCAGAGAAGCAAGCAGUGGGCAAAAUUAAUCUCUCGAGGGGGUAUCUAACUCUAAUUAAUUAAUCAAUUUUAUGCCGGAAUAUCCCUUUAAGGAGAAGCAUCUAUUAAUCCUAAAUAUUUCCAGACCUGAGGAUUUCAGGCUCCUGUCUAAGUGUGGUCUAAAGUGUUCAACAUAUCAGUCAGUGAGUGUGCUGGAGGCAGGGCUUACCUAUCUGUUUAACCUCCCAAAGGUGUGACCAGCAGUUAACAGCUCCUUAUGACAGUUUUCCUCCAGCAGCAAACCUUACAUCAAUCUAAGUGACAGAGAGAAGAUAAAGAUACUCAAACACAUUUUCCACUCUGCGCUUUUUAAAACAUACCUGACCACAGAGUGGGAUAUUUUCAGGCCUCACAUUUUGCUUCAUGUGGCUGUGAGUCUGCAGACGGGGCAGUUAAACGUGUUUUUCACUGGCUUGCUCAGUCAGUGAGCAGGCGUUGAGAAGCGUCAGCUGAAUGUCUACAGUGGAAAUGGAAAUGUAACCUCAGAUCAUGCUCUCUUUGACUCAGUGUCACUCUGCUCCUCUUCAUGUUCCUUAUCAUCACCCCACAUGUCAUCCUCCCCCUUGCACUCUUACUCUCCUCCCCGCCCUCUCCACCUCCCCCUGUCCUCCCCCGCUCUCCCGCUCUGGUAGAACAACAGAAACAUGGAGGAUGGCGGUGACAGGUGACGCUGUGGAUGAAAGCCUCUGACUGCAGCGGCUGUCACGGCGCUCACAGAGAAGAGAAGGAACCAGAGGAAGAAAGGUUUGAGUCUGAGGGAGUGAGGGAGAGAAGGGGGGAGUGAGGGAGGAGGUGGAGAUGUGAACUGAAAUGGUGGAGUGUCGCCCUCAGGGCUCUGAGCCUCUAAUUGACUGCAGCAGGCUGACGGAGGCUUUUUGUGACUGUCACCUACAACACACACACACACAGGCAGAGUUCACAUAGCUGUAAGGUCGUGUGUUCCCCUCCCUCCUCUAACCUCUCCACCUCUCUCACAGCCUGAUCACAGCUCACACCUUUAUCACAGCUGAUCUGUUUCUAACUUUACACCUUCGCUGCAGCUCAUCUGAGUCUGAACACGGUUCAUCUCAGUGUUCUGGGCACAAACUUACAUCUGAGUUACAGGAGCUGUUUACAGUUUUAUAAUCUCUUAACAGGUAUCAUGUAUAUACAGGUACUUCUCAACCAGAGGUGUGCUCUGUUCAUCAAUAAUGUAACUCCACUAACAGUCCAUCUAUCCAUUUCUUCCACUUUUGCAGGACUGGGUCUUGAGGUAAGUCAUCUUACCAAGUCAACCCAGACCUCAGUCUCCCCAGAAGGGCUUUUAGCUCUGCAAAUGGGAUCCCAAGGAACUUUUAGGAUUUUAUCCCUCCAAUGAGCUCUGGACCUCCUUUACCGUCACCUUCCCACUGGCCCUCCCCCUGAGAAACCUCCAUGGAGGAGGCACCCAGGAGGUAUCCUUAUUAUAUGCCCAAACCAGCUCAGCUGACUCCUUUCAAUCCCAAGAAGCAGCAACUCAACUCCAACCACCCCAGGCCUGCUGGAGAUCCUGGCCUUAAUGCUGCAUUCAAGUUACCAGAAAAAAGCAAAAUUGAAGGUCUGAAACACAAUGGCUACAUCUACGAAAAGUUAUUUUAGCGCUUGCCAUGUCCGAAUAUAAGCAAGGACAAGGUAACUGAAACACAGGUAACUCGGGUGUGACGUCAUUUUCAGCUCGGAAUUCUGACUUCCGAGGUAACUCGAAUGCAGCAUAUGACCCCAACAGAACCAACCACAUGAUCUGUAAAGAUGGAGUUCUGAGGCUGUCACAGAUUAUGUAUGUGAUUUUCAUGGACAGGAUCUCAAGGGGAAGAAGGGUGCUUCUACGCUUGUCAUAUCACUAAUUCUGGGUCUCACUAUGUUUUUCCUUGUUUGUGAACAAGUAACCAUGGCAACAGAAUCCAAGAAUAAUAUAGUUGAGUAGAGCCUGAUAAAUGUGGUGCAGUAGUUGAUCAUGCUACAUUUGCAAGAAGAAGAGGAAACGCUACUGUGGACAGAAAAUGAGGCUGCUGAGGAAGAGGGCAAGGAACAUGGACAACACUACUAAGCAGACCAAUCACAGAGCUAGUGGCCAGUCUGUCGAUUUAAAACAGUCCCUUAGAGCUUCACUGGCUUGAGGUGUCCAUCUUCUGAUUUUGACUUUGGUCACAGGCUGCCUCAGUACACAAGGUCUGUAACAGGUUUGCAGAAAGAACGAGUUAUGAUCUGACUUGCCCAGUGGUGGUAAGGCAGUGGCUCUGUAGACUUCUUUGACAUUGGCAUACAGCAGAUCCGGGGUCUUGUUUCCUCUGGUAGGACAGUUCACAAACUGUGUGAAUCCAGUCAGGUGAGAGGAGAGGGUGACAUGGUUGAAGUCUCCCGAUAUUAUUAUUAGUGCCUCAGGGUGUUGAGUCUGUAGCCUGGCAACACUAUUUUGCUAAACAUUGCAACAUUUUUCAGUUGAUUUGGGUGGAAUGUAAACAAUUACUGUUAUGAUAUGACUAAAUUCUCUUGGAACAUAAUAUGGCCGGAGAGCAACUGCCAACAAUUCAAUAUUUGGACAACACAACUUCUCCUUGACAGUUGUGUGUAAAGGGUUAUACCAUCUCUGGUUGACAAAUAAAGCCAGACCUCCUCCUUUCUUCUUGCCACUAGCUUGAGCAUCUCUGUCUGACCUUAUGAGAGUGAAGCCAGGUAGAUCCACACUGGAGUCUGAGUUGUUUUGAUUCAGCCAGGUUUCAGUAAAACACAGGAAACUGCACUCACGAUAUGCUUUCUCAGUCUUCACCAAUAUCUCCAGCUCAUCGUUUUUGUUGGGCAGAGAGUUGAUGUUUCCCAUGAUGAUUGAUGGAAGAAAGGGUUUAUAUCGCCACCUCCUAGCAUUCAGCAUUGCCUUCCUCUUUGCACCAGAAUGGCAACCAUGAUAACACCUCCUGAUGUCCUCUGGAAUUAUAUGUUGUUGUCCAGAUUUGCUUUUCCUCAAUGAAAGGAGCUCUUCUCUUGAGUAAACUCUUCGCCCAGCAGAAGUAUCCAUCAGAUACUUAUUAUUAUUUUGUAACUGUCUUUCAUCCCUUCUGAUGUCCCUUCCCAUCCCUUUCUAAUGUAUGACUUAACAUAUGUAACUGUAUGCAGUUACAUAUGUUGGCCAAAGGGGGUGCACUUCAAAUUUCUACACACACUGUAAUUACAGAUUUUGGCCACAGAUGUCACUCUUCUGAAAACUGACACACACCCAAUUUGAAAAAUCCCUCCUUUUUGGGUCAUAGUGUUUUUACGAGAUUUCUCCACCAGACAUGAUAGUGAGCCAUUCUUUAUCAAAUGUAGUGGUUUUCCUUAUUAGGACCAUAUUUUUGGUUCUAACUUGUCCAUCGGUCCUAAUUUGGCGGCUACUUUUCUUGGUUGAUGUCUCAAGAAGGGUAGUAAUACAAGAAGGCAUGCCCUCACACACACACACACACACACACACACACACACACACACACACACACACACACACACACCAUAUAAUUUUCAAUAUCCUCAGAGAUGAACUCAUAAACUCCUUCAUUUAGUCACAAAAACGUUUAUUUUACAGAGGAGACUUUAAUUUGUGGCUUGUGGCUAAUUUGUACAAUGUGCCUUCAAUUCUUCAUGGACAGAAAAAAAACAAUCAUUGUUUCUCCAUUUUUGCCUGUCAAGCAGAUUAUUAAUGUUGAGUUCUAUGAAGUUAACAAAAACAGACCCUCAUUUCAUUCAGUUAAACACCAACAUGUUGCUUCAAAGUCACAGGAGAUGAGAAACAAGCAUGCACCAAACAUCUGUCAACAGAAUACAAGCUGAGUGAGUGUCUACAUGGCUGUUUAACCAGAUAACAAAAUGGUAACUGGAGAUCACUCCCCCUUUUCCUGAUCAGCAGUUUUAUCCUGUUCAAACUGUUUAUAUGAGGUAGUGGAAGUGUUCAGACCAGCUGGUCAAGACCUCUGACUGACAACUGAAAUAAAACUGGAGAUUUUUAUAUUUUAAUUAGAUAUUUAGACCUGAUUGAGUUUUUUUCUCAUAGACUUUCUCUUGCUUUUUCAUGUUUUGCAGAAAAACAUUCACAUCCUGCAGAUAUCUGCAUGCAGACAGAGUCAAACAUAAAAACAAACACUCUGAAAAAUCCUGCACUCCAGGGUAUGUCUGCAUAUCAUCACAGCAUUCACACACAUGCACCAUCUCCCAGGACAGCCUGUUGGAUGAACUCUAACAUAUUAGACCGUCUUUUCCCCCACUAUCUCCUGAAACACACAGAAACCCACACACACUCUCUCUCACACACACAAAUCUACUGUAAGUCCCUGAAUCAGGCGACAGAUGUCCCCUCAGAGGUUUGUGAGGCCUUUUAUCAAACCAAAGAUCCACGGGGACUCGUUCAGAUGGACUCUCUGACAAAAACAUGUUGAUAAUGGCCAUGCCACAGAGAGACAGUACAGGGGGAUUAUGGGAAAGAAGGGCACUGGAUAGAUGGAGGGAUGGAUGGAUAAAUGGCUUGAUUGUAAAGUGGCUUGGUAUGUGAGUGGUGAGGGGUGCAAAGGAGGCAGGGCUGAGGUCCCAAGAGGUGUGGUCAAGACCAGAUGGUAUUAGUCUGUGGAUCUGUGACCCACUCUGACAGAGGCCUUCACACACACACGCACUAAAAACACACACUCAGAGAACUGAACUUAGGUGUUGAUUCAUUGACCAAAACUUUCAGAUUAUUUUUCAGGUCAGGUGUUUGAUGGUGUUUAACCGACUCUUGCUGUUCCUUAAAUGUAAUUGUUUUAAACACACCAUCAGCUGUUUCCCCCAUUAUUACAGACCUGACACUAUAGAGAUAGCAG
Xyrichtys novacula (pearly razorfish) is the source of this 7920-nucleotide non-coding RNA. Lineage: Eukaryota; Metazoa; Chordata; Actinopteri; Labriformes; Labridae. The record is from the annotation of a GenBank genome assembly.